This 296-nucleotide signal recognition particle RNA is filed under the name Propithecus coquereli (Coquerel's sifaka). RNAcentral describes it as "Metazoan signal recognition particle RNA (ENSPCOG00000004709.1)". It matches the Rfam family "Metazoan signal recognition particle RNA". From Rfam's summary of the family: The signal recognition particle (SRP) is a universally conserved ribonucleoprotein. It is involved in the co-translational targeting of proteins to membranes. The eukaryotic SRP consists of a 300-nucleotide 7S RNA and six proteins: SRPs 72, 68, 54, 19, 14, and 9. The record is from RNAcentral. Lineage: Eukaryota; Metazoa; Chordata; Mammalia; Primates; Indriidae.
GGGCACGCUGGUGCACGCCUGUAGUCCCAGCUACUCCGAAGGCUGAAGUGGGAAGAUCGCCAGAGCCCAGGAGUUCUGGGCUGUAGUGUGCUAUGCCAGGUGGGUGUCUGUGCUAAGUUUGCCUUCAGUAUGGUCACCUUCUGGGAGUGGGGGACCACUAGUUUGCCUAAGGAGAGGCGAACUGGCCCAGGUUGGAAACAGAACUGGUAAAAACUCCCAUGUUGAUUAGUAGUGGGAUUUUGCCUGUGAACAGCCACUGUACUCCAGCCUGGGCAGCAUAGUGAGACCCAAUCUCU